GUAGGUGGCAAGCGUUGUCCGGAAUUAUUGGGCGUAAAGCGCGCGCAGGCGGUUCUUUAAGUCUGAUGUGAAAGCCCACGGCUCAACCGUGGAGGGUCAUUGGAAACUGGAGAACUUGAGUACAGAGGAGGAAAGCGGAACUCCACGUGUAGCGGUGAAAUGCGUAGAGAUGUGGAGGAACACCAGUGGCGAAGGCGGCUUUCUGGUCUGUAACUGACGCUGAGGCGCGAAAGCGUGGGGAGCAAACAGGGAUUAGAUACCCUGGUAGUCCACGCCGUAAACGAUGAGUGCUAAGUGUUAGGGGGGUUUCCGCCCCCUUAGUGCUGCAGCUAACGCAUUAAGCACUCCGCCUGGGGAUACGGCCGCAAGGCUG
Molecule: ribosomal RNA, 373 nt
Filed under: uncultured organism
Description: partial 16S ribosomal RNA
Rfam family: Bacterial small subunit ribosomal RNA
Source: RNAcentral